UAAAAGCCUUUGUGUACUUUCCGUGACUUGGUACAUUCCACUCCUCCCCUCUGUGUCGAGCUAUGUGGAAUGUUCCACUUCCCUUGUCGGAGCUUCUUCCAAGCCGAGACAGAAACAGGAAGAGGACGAGGAGCAGCGGGAAUAAACACAUGACCUGAGCGAUCCGAUCACACGUGUUCAGAUUACACCUGCUACUGCUGCUAAUGUGACGUCACUGCUCCUCAGCAAACACACGAUCACCGUGUAACCAUCAGGUGCAGGAGGACCUGGCUGACCUGGAGGAGGACGAGGACGAGGACGAGGACGAGGAGCAGCACGGACAAAUGUGUGGUAACUGAUGCUUAAAAAUGAUCCACACAUUUAUUAGAUGUUCUGUUGAUGCUCUGUUCACACCUGCUGUUAACAUCUGAUCCGAGUCAUCCGAUCAUAGUUGUUCAGAUUACCCCUGCUACUGCUAUUGCUAAUAUCACGUCAAAUGAUGAUUCUCAAAUGUCUUUUUUUAUCCACCAACCAAAAAUUAUUCAGUUUUAAUUCCUUCUUUGUUACAAGGAACAAUGAAACCGGAAAAUGUUCAACAUUUAUAAUAAAAAACAAACAAUUAAUCUAUUAUUAAAGUAUUUGACAAUUCAUUUAGUUGUCGUUUAAUAAUGCUGUAAUCGUUGCAUCCCUACUUUAUAUAUAUAUUUUUUUAAAAUCAUCAGAGAAAUCAUAUGAUUUAUUGCGAUACUUGCAAAAUCAUACAUUGUGAUACACUGACACAACAGUGACCACUUGGCACCAUCUAGUGAACUGAAAGGUUCAUUUAUUUUGUUUAUUUGUAAUGCUAAUCCACAAAAAAGUUUGACGUUUAUUUAUAACAUCAGUUCAAAACAUUGUUAUGGAACAAACCAUGACUCUUUCACCUGUCAUUUCAUCACCUCACACGGACGACGUUAACAGCACUUGUCAACAGAGAGUUUAAUGUGUGCACAUCAUUUUUACAUUGUUAACAGGUGAAAACUAGGGACCACUCAAAGUCACAAAAUUCUAUCAAUAAAUACACCAUUCAAUAAUGACUACAAUGUGCCAUUCAUUCAUUGAUUCAAAUUGGAAUGAAAUACAUACACGUCUUAUUAAAUGUGACAUUCAUUCAUUCAUUCAUUCAAAUACCAAUUCAUUUGAUGUAAAAAACAACAUAUAGAAUGACUUGACUGUUGAAUGAAUGAUUUCAUGGUCCUGUGUUGCAGUGCAUCAUCAGUUGAUUUGAUGCUGAUGGGUGACUUUGACACGUUAAAUCAAUUCAUGAUGCACUGCAACACAGGACCAUGACAUCAUUCAUGUCAAAGUCAAGUCAUUAGAUAUGUUUUGUGGUAUUUGAAUGAAUGAAAGUCACAUUUAAUAAGACGUGUAUGUAUUUCAUUCCAAUUUGAAUCAAUGAAUAAAUGUCACAUUGUAGUCCUUAUUGAACGGUGUAAUUAUUUAUUGAGUGAAUUUUGUAACUUUGAGCGCUCCCUAGUUUUCACCUGUUAACAAUGUAAAAAUGAUGUGCACACAUUAAUCCCACAGAAGUCUAAUUGAUGUGCUGAUCAUUUUUAAGCAUCAGUUGCUGGACACCGGUACCCCGACUGUGUG
This is a long non-coding RNA of Solea solea (common sole), 1611 nucleotides long. RefSeq lists it as uncharacterized. The transcript has 3 exons. Lineage: Eukaryota; Metazoa; Chordata; Actinopteri; Pleuronectiformes; Soleidae. The record is from RefSeq and is a predicted model, not a curated record.